This 221-nucleotide unclassified non-coding RNA is filed under the name Hevea brasiliensis (rubber tree). Lineage: Eukaryota; Viridiplantae; Streptophyta; Magnoliopsida; Malpighiales; Euphorbiaceae. The record is from RNAcentral.
GGAAGAUAGUGAAUUUAUUAUCUUUUCUUUCUUUUUCUUUUGCAGAAACCUAAAAUGAAAAAUCAAUGAAAGUCAAUUGAAAUCAAUUUCUCGAUAGCUAGAGCAAUAAAACAGCUAAAAAAAAGUUUCUCCAGUCCACUACAUAACAUAAUAAUAAACAACAACAAAUUUUCAAAAGAAAAUAAAUUUCCAAGCUUUGCUUUGAAUAGGGCACUUCUAAA